UGGGGAAUUUUGGACAAUGGGGGAAACCCUGAUCCAGCCAUCCCGCGUGUGCGAUGAAGGCCUUCGGGUUGUAAAGCACUUUUGGCAGGAAAGAAACGUCGCGGGUUAAUACCCCGCGAAACUGACGGUACCUGCAGAAUAAGCACCGGCUAACUACGUGCCAGCAGCCGCGGUAAUACGUAGGGUGCAAGCGUUAAUCGGAAUUACUGGGCGUAAAGCGUGCGCAGGCGGUUCGGAAAGAAAGAUGUGAAAUCCCAGAGCUUAACUUUGGAACUGCAUUUUUAACUACCGGGCUAGAGUGUGUCAGAGGGAGGUGGAAUUCCGCGUGUAGCAGUGAAAUGCGUAGAUAUGCGGAGGAACACCGAUGGCGAAGGCAGCCUCCUGGGAUAACACUGACGCUCAUGCACGAAAGCGUGGGGAGCAAACAGGAUUAGAUACCCUGGUAGUCCACGCCCUAAACGAUGUCAACUAGCUGUUGGGGCCUUCGGGCCUUGGUAGCGCAGCUAACGCGUGAAGUUGACCGCCUGGGGAGUACGGUCGCAAGAUUAAAACUCAAAUGAAUUGACGGGGGUC
This 573-nucleotide ribosomal RNA is filed under the name uncultured bacterium. RNAcentral describes it as "partial 16S ribosomal RNA". It matches the Rfam family "Bacterial small subunit ribosomal RNA", at positions 355 to 921 of the family's 1533-position model. The record is from RNAcentral.